GUUGUUUUGUUCUACCAGCUACGUAUCUGUCUCGCCGUGUAACAUAAACAGCUUGUAGCUUCUGUGCGACAGCUAAUAAGGUUGAAAUGGUCGUUGUCAAAUCAAUGUUGAGGUGUAAUUGUGCUCAGGACUGCGUAUUUCAAGAAAUUGGAAGACUAUGCAGUGUCGUGCCACAAGGAAAAAUAUCAUGGGAAGAUAUGUAGGGUUGAAUUGAUGGGAGCAUGCGCUCGACUAACAGGAUUUUGAGGAACGUCUUCGCCAUGAAAUAGAAGAGAAACAAAGUGCCCGGAGACAACAGAAUUACUCCGACAAGAAGAAGAUGCCUCAGAAGAAUUUAUUUUUGAUUUACAAAUUGUUUACUGCUUUCUUAUUGGCUUGAUUUUUUAUGUUGUUACGCGUUCGCGGCUCGCUUAUUUUGGCUAAAUGCAAAGAGCUGCGGAUGCUGUGGCGCGUAGUUCUGAAUCCUUACAAUUGUGUUUUGUGGGUGACUGUGGAGUUAAAGAAUUUACACCUGACUCCUGCUCAGAGUCGUUUUAAAACGACUCCGGCUUUAGAGAUAGAGAAUUUCAACUUCCGCAUUCAGCUUCCAUCUCCCGAAGACUGAAUUUAGAGGUGCUUAUGCUUUUGCAGCGGUGCGAAUUCACGGAUAGGUUUGUGAAACCCUGCGCAGAUUCCAUGUGCUGCAAAGCAAAUAUGAUCCAUAAUAUGAUGGCGACAGUAAAAGACUUUAUUUCCAAACACGGGCCAACAGAAAAAACACGUACAAUUUUAACACUAUAGCGUGACCGGAACAGAAUUACACGACACAAAGUGGUCACGUUGUAACCUGAAUAAGCAAAAACAUAGUCGGUCUGAUGACCCAUGGGGAAGUAGAGAAAGAAGCUCCAACCACGCAAAUUCUAGCACAUUAUGAAGUAUAUUUAUUUCACAAAAGCAAUCAAGUAUAUAACAAACAACUUCAAUUCCAACCACAAAAUUCUUGUUUCCGCGAAAUGAAAUUGAGGUGCAGUCUGGGGCUUUUCACAGAAUUUUUCUGUAAAUAUUCUCUGGCAAUCUCUAACUAACUGACUAUUAGUAAAUCCCGUCGCUUCAGUUAUGGCACGGCAAUGCUUGUCCUUAGUGGCAAAACGUAAUAAUUUAUAGCAAGAGAGAAACAUAAAUUGGGCAACAAAUACCGAUCCACCUAUCUCUCAAACAGUCUUAUAUCCACAUGACAUCAGCAAAUCGUACAACGAACGGGACAGUUACACUUCGAACAAACUUGUCUGUCACAACUAUAGGAUCAGAAUUAAUUAGACCAGGGUGACAAACUCGCGGGCCCCAUGUGGCCCAAGAGAGCUUCCAAUGCGGCCCUCGAACGCUCAAAAAUAAUUGUAAUAUUUUGUAAGUUUUUACAUUUUUCAAACCUUUCAGAGGAAUUGAUUCACACAGAAAAUGACAAUUUACUGAAAGUAGUUUGAAAAUUAAAAUUUUUUUUUUUUUCAAUUUUACCCAAUUAUGGAUACACCUCAAGCUAGCAAAAGAAUACUUACUUGAAACGCAUAGUACAUGAAGAAGGUGGCAUUUUUGAAGAAAAAUGGGAGUUGCAAUAUUUCUGCAUUUCUCAAAAUUUGUCACAUUCACAUCCGUACAAUGAAUGAAAGAAUACAAACAACAUUAUCAUAGCUCAUCAGCAGUCAAUAUGACGAAUUUAUAGAUCAACUUCGAACGGAAACUUUUUAUGUGUUUGUAUAUCAUUAGAAUUAUACAACUACCUAGUUACUAAAAAUCAAUAUCAAUCAUAAUAACUCAAGCGGUCCUAUAUAACGUAAUGGUAGGAAAUGUGACGGGAAAAUGUCGGGUCCGAAAAGUCAUUUGUUUGUUUACUGAUCUAUACAUGAAAUGAUAAACGUAAUAUUUUUGCAUCACUGAAAUAAAUCGAACAUUCUCAACGAUCCAGAUUAAUCGAUGAUCUUGUGACCUCGUUAAUUAGAGUUGGUACUGCGAAAUCAUUUCAUCCUGUUUUUCAUAAGCUGUUGACGCAAAAGAGACGCCAAACGUCGGGGCAUAUUUAAAUGAUGAAACAUUGAGUUUAUUCAGAAUUACUAAUAAUAACAAGAACCCAUAGGACCCACAACAAGUUUUGAAAUAAAUAAAAGAGCGAUGUUCAAAUAUAUAAACAUGAAAGUCAAAAGAAAGCAGUAGAGUCCGUUACCUCUUUACGGUACCUUACAUAUAUAUAGUCUGGUACAGUCAGCACGAGAGAGGUCGCAGACCCGCUACGAACAAUUUUAUUAAUUUUGAAGUGUUCAUAAGACAGCACAUGUCAUAGAGGUAGAGCAUACGGAAAGUUUUAUAAUAAAUCUAAAUUAAAAAUACAAUCUUCAAUCACUGAAAAUGUCGAGCGAUCCAGUAGUGAUUUUUUCACAACAACGUGAAGGAAAUUACUGACAACAUAAUAACAAAUCAAUCCAUAUGUACAUUCCGUGUCUGAGUCGCAUGGCUUUCGUUUUUACUAUAUACGUAUUGAGGAGGUCAAGGAUGGCAUUUUCGGUAUUAUGAUUCUACAAGCUUGUUUACGUUUUUUCCCUAAAGCGAUUAUGAUGAAUUAGUAACGUGGGGUGAAUACGCUUGUCACAAGGCUUCUUUGUCUAAGACUGCUGUCUUGAUAUUAGCGUUGUAUUUAUAACGUGCUGAAUCGAGUUAUAAAUAUUGGGAUCAAGCUUUUUUUUCCACGUUCAUUUCCAUCCGUAAACUAUGACCCAUCAAUUGCACCCAGUAUGCUUGACCCAUGGACGUCGACAUUGCAUCGAUGAAUUGCAUCGUUGUUAAUUAUAUCAUAUAGGUAUUGAAAAUCAAAUCAUAUUUACAAAUAAUAAAUAUAAUCCUGAUUAGGUUUUUUAUUCACAUUAUGAACAGGGACCAUUGUACCAAAAUCAUCUUUGUUGUCGUAUAUUUUUUUAUCAACGCCGUAACACAGAAGUACUAUAAUCAUGAAUCGUAAAUCCCAGUAUACCAGCGGUUCCAAAACUAUGAGUCACGACCCACUGGAGGGUCGCAAAAGGAAUCUUGGUGGGUCGUGAAGAGAUGUAGAAAGCUUUGAUUAAUUAUACUGGUUAUUAGGAUCGGUGGCGACUCGAAUACGUAAAUCUUCAAACAAUAAAAAAAA
Non-coding RNA from Styela clava, 3148 nucleotides. Lineage: Eukaryota; Metazoa; Chordata; Ascidiacea; Stolidobranchia; Styelidae. The record is from RefSeq and is a predicted model, not a curated record.